AUUGAACGCUGGCGGCAGGCCUAACACAUGCAAGUCGAGCGGAUGAAGGGAGCUUGCUCCUGGAUUCAGCGGCGGACGGGUGAGUAAUGCCUAGGAAUCUGCCUGGUAGUGGGGGAUAACGUCCGGAAACGGGCGCUAAUACCGCAUACGUCCUGAGGGAGAAAGUGGGGGAUCUUCGGACCUCACGCUCUCAGAUGAGCCUAGGUCGGAUUAGCUAGUUGGUGGGGUAAAGGCCUACCAAGGCGACGAUCCGUAACUGGUCUGAGAGGAUGAUCAGUCACACUAGAACUGGGACACGGACCAGACUCCUACGGGAGGCAGCAGUGGGGAAUAGUAGACAGUGGGCGAAAGCCUUAUACAGCCAUGCCGCGUGUGUGAAGAAGGUCUUCGGAGUGUAAAGCACUUUAAGUUGGGAGGAAGGGCAGUAAGUUAAUACCUUGCUGGUUUGACGUUACCAACAGAAUAAGCACCGGCUAACUUCGUG
This 484-nucleotide ribosomal RNA is filed under the name uncultured bacterium. Its description in RNAcentral is "partial 16S ribosomal RNA". It matches the Rfam family "Bacterial small subunit ribosomal RNA", at positions 30 to 507 of the family's 1533-position model. The record is from RNAcentral.